GACUUGGAGAACUUUUCUGUCUUACAAGAGGAUUGUAAAAUGCAACUAUCAGCACUCUGUCAAAAUGCACCAACCAGCACUCUGGAGCUAGCAAGAGGAUUGUAAAAUGCACCAAUCAGAGAAAAUUGAAACAGGUGUUGUGCUCUCAAACUAAGGAUAAUUUCCGACUUGUUACAUGGUUACCAACAAAGAAAAAAGAGAAACAUCUUAACACCUGAUUAAUCACUCCAGACUCUGCCUGCUUGGGCUCUGUCACUCUUUAAAUGUGUUACUUUGGACGAGUUACUUAAAG
Molecule: long non-coding RNA, 292 nt
Filed under: Homo sapiens (human)
Lineage: Eukaryota; Metazoa; Chordata; Mammalia; Primates; Hominidae
Description: HSALNT0287915
Source: RNAcentral